UCGUGCUAAGCGGGGCGCUAGCGGUGCCUUGUACUCGCAAUCCGCUAUAGCGGGGCUGAAAUCCCACUCUGAGGGCGCGACGGCUGCUGGGACUGUUUGGUCAAACAGCGUGGAGGGUUGGGUCCCGUGCGGCGCGGAGCUGUGAACCUGGUCAGGACCGGAAGGUAGCAGCCAUAAGCGGUAACCCGCGGGUGCCACGGGGUUGCCUGGCCUGAGUUGUCUGACAGGACAAGCCAGUUGCCGCAGUUCGAAGAGGGGUGCACGA
This 265-nucleotide signal recognition particle RNA is filed under the name Anaerolineae bacterium. Its description in RNAcentral is "signal recognition particle sRNA large type". It matches the Rfam family "Bacterial large signal recognition particle RNA". Rfam says of the family: The signal recognition particle (SRP) is a universally conserved ribonucleoprotein involved in the co-translational targeting of proteins to membranes. Archaeal SRP consists of a 7S RNA and homologues of the eukaryotic SRP19 and SRP54 proteins. In most bacteria, the SRP consists of a 4.5S RNA and the Ffh protein (a homologue of the eukaryotic SRP54 protein). Lineage: Bacteria; Bacillati; Chloroflexota; Anaerolineae. The record is from RNAcentral.